This 526-nucleotide ribosomal RNA is filed under the name uncultured bacterium. RNAcentral's name for it is "bacterial SSU rRNA". It matches the Rfam family "Bacterial small subunit ribosomal RNA", at positions 19 to 518 of the family's 1533-position model. The record is from RNAcentral.
CUGGCUCAGGACGAACGCUGGCGGCGUGCCUAAUACAUGCAAGUCGAACGGUCUUUCUAUGGAAGCUUGCUUCCACUGAGAAGAUAGUGGCGAACGGGUGAAUAACACGUGGGUAACCUGCCCAUAAGAGGGGGAUAACAUCCGGAAACGGGUGCUAAUACCGCAUAGUUUUCUUGAUCGCAUGAUCGGGAAAGGAAAGACGGCCUUUGUGCUGUCGCUUAUGGAUGGACCCGCGGCGUAUUAGUUAGUUGGUGAGGUAACGGCUCACCAAGACGAUGAUACGUAGCCGACCUGAGAGGGUGAUCGGCCACAUUGGGACUGAGACACGGCCCAAACUCCUACGGGAGGCAGCAGUAGGGAAUCUUCCGCAAUGGACGAAAGUCUGACGGAGCAACGCCGCGUGAGUGAAGAAAGGUUUUCGGAUCGUAAAACUCUGUUGUCAGAGAAGAACAAGUUGGAGAGUAACUGCUCCAGCCUUGACGGUAUCUGACCAGAAAGCCACGGCUAACUACGUGCCAGCCGCUGC